RNAcentral lists this long non-coding RNA (279 nucleotides) under Homo sapiens (human). Its description in RNAcentral is "HSALNT0326757". Lineage: Eukaryota; Metazoa; Chordata; Mammalia; Primates; Hominidae. The record is from RNAcentral.
UGCUCUUCAUUUAGCCCUAUUUGUCUUAAAGAGAAGCCACAGCUGAAUCCGACAUUGGGAACACAUUCCUACGAAGUAAAUAACAUCUUGUUUCUAGACGUUUACCUGUGAAAAGGAACGAACUUACAAAAAGGAGCUAAGAAGACAAAGCAAUAUGGAUGGAGCUGGAAGCCAUCAUCCUAAGUGACCUCACAAGAACAGAAAACCAAAUAUUGCAUGUUCUCACUUAAAUGUAGUGAACAAGAUGGAUUGAAGGUAAUCUUGGUUAACCUGAAAAAA